Molecule: long non-coding RNA, 5603 nt
Organism: Gallus gallus (chicken)
Lineage: Eukaryota; Metazoa; Chordata; Aves; Galliformes; Phasianidae
Exons: 2
Source: RefSeq, a predicted model, not a curated record
GGAUCUCUCUCAGGAGAUCCUUCCUCUUGGAGCCCUUCUGCAAGCCCAGGACACAGGUAAGAUCUUUAUUUCAUUUCUCCUUUGUAACACGAUAAUCUCCCUGGUCCAACACCUGUAUACCUGUUUGCUAUACAGUAUGUAAUAUGCAUUUUUUAUUAUUAUAUAUAAUUUACAAAUUCCUACAUAUACUUUUUGGUAAAUUGAAAUUCAUCUUGAACAUAAAUUUACUCAAGAUUAUAAACAUACCACUUUGGAUUGCAAAGCCAGAGCUAAGUAGUGAAACAAGUGGAACACUAUAGCAAUUAUUGCUAUAUAUUUUCAUAUAGCUGAAGAAUUAUUUUCGCAGCUAAUAACUCUCUAAAAGUAUCUUUUAAUGUCUCUAAAUGAAUACUUUUUAAAAACCACGUUAACUAUUUCAUGAUGUUUCUUUAGUUUUCCCAACUGCAUUGCUCAGUGGAUGCCAUAAUUCAAACACAUAGAAAAAUUAGAAAGCAAUUGAUUUAAUUUUUUACCACUUGUGUUAAAAUUGUAACCUUAAUUGACAAAACAAUUGAUAAAACUAGAGAUUUGAAGAGAAAAAUGUGAAAUGUUUGUUAGUUUUGGCAUAGAAUGAGGUAUUAGAACCGCUGCGCUAAGAACACUGAAUUCCAUCAAACAAACUGAUUGUUGUUACACGCUCAAGUGAAGAAACUGUGGUUGUUUAGUCUCGAUGGGAGACUAUUACAGGGAAGACAACAUGAUAGUAGCUUUUAAAUAUAUAAAAUGCAGCUGUAAAGAAGUCUGGGGUGGAUAAGUGGAGGAAAAAGCUGGAUCUGAGAAAUGCACUUCAGGCAGCAAAAUGUUGAGAGAAAUAGCUUCAGAAGAGCACAGGGUAUCCACCACCAGAUAGUUUUAAGAAUAAACAUCCGCUGGGCAAGACAGAGCAGAGGUCAAUGCAGUCCUGGGAUAACGAGAUGUGGCUUUCAGUGGUUUCAGAUGUGUGGAUCCCUACACAAGCUCUAGAAGAGAUGCAGAUCCAUCGAUGCCCCAUGGGUCCAGGCUGCUGUACAAAAAUUUUGACCUCUCUGUGCUGAAUGAUUGUUGCCAGCCCAUUGGAUCUCAGCCUUGUUCCCAUGACCAGGAUGCUUCCCACACCGUUCCCACCUCCUCCUUCAGCUGUCACAGCCUCAUCACUCCAUACACAGACAUGGCUGUGCCAUCCCUGGUGGCAGCCGGCUUUGCAACAGUCAGCAUGGGAAAUCAUCCUCUUCUAAUGGCAAGACAGAAGGAUGGAUGCUUGCCAAACUCAGAGCCAGCAGUAGACCCUUAUAUGAUGUGAAAGUCACCCCAAAUACCCCUCAGUGUCCUCUGACUACUUGCAGAAUGCCCACUAGUGACCACCAAGUCCAAAAUGAGUUAUGGCCACUUCAUGUAUCUCCUUCCAGUUACAUGUUCUGGAGGAUGCUGUCUCCUCACCUCUCCUAGCUUGACACCAUCAUAACUCAGCAACCUGGCGUUACACAACUCCCAGUUGCAGGGUCCAUCCGAAAAAUGAAGAAAACCUGUCUUUAAAACUCAUCUUCUGAUCUACUAAACUCAUCUACUGGUCUUUAGUAAAGCAAACGGCUUCAGCCUGAGAAUGCCGAUGUGAAGCAUUCUGAUAUUUAAGGAAGAAAAGAAGGAUGCCUAUUGUUUUGCCUUGUCGUUGACUGACUCCAGCCCAGAACUGGGAGUUAUUUUGGUUGCCAUCCUUUUCCCAGGAGAUUUCAUUUUUUUUUUUUUAACUCAUGUAACACUCUCUAAUUCAGUUUGAAGUAGAAAUGACCAGACUCAGUAAGGCUCACGAGAACAUGGCGGAGCUGCCAGUUUGCACAAAUACCAGACAAAACAGUUCCAUUUUCCACCCCCCUCCCCUUUGCAUUUUGGGUUUCCUUUGAAAUUGUACCUAGACUUCAGAGGAAGCAUGGGGUCCUCAGGACCAGCUGCUCCUCAAACACACACAACAAAACCAUCCAGGCCCACAUGCUCUGCCAUGUAACCUGCACACCACAAAAAUUCAGAUGCCAUCUUCAGUCCUGCAAAAUAUUAAGCCAGGCAUUUAAGAUUCACCCAAUGAUUAAGCAUGAGCAGCUUGUAAUCGUUUCCAGAUUCCUCUCCUAGCAGGAGGAAAGGCUCCGCAAUUCCUGUCUGCGUGCUCAGUGUAGCAAUGUGCUCCCAAACAGACUGAAGAUGGGUUGAAGAGGACAAAACUGAUACCCCGAGCUUUGCAGCUGAGACCAAGCCAGCAUUACCUUUUAAUCCAACACGAUAACCUUGGAAAAGCAGGGUUAUUUAGCCAGCAUACAUCAGGGUACUUCCACAUCAUCUGUGUAGCAACACCUGUGCACCAGCAACUAGAAACCCCCUUACAUACACACUAAGAUUGUCUGCAUUUUUUCAUCUGGCUUGGGAGCAUUAAAUGAAGAUCAACUGUUGGAAUCGGCCUCGCUUAGGGAAGCAGACUGUCUGUGCUCACAGACAGGACCUUUCUCCUCCAGGUUUUAUAGGAAGCCCAAGACUGCAGCCUUUCUGCAGAGGCCACAGUGUAACCCAGGGAGCAUCUGGAUCCUUCCCUUCAUGCCAAUUCAGCCAUAUAUUUUUCCCCCAGACUGCUUGGCCAUGAAAAAAAAAAAGAUCUUUGAAAACCUGCUCAGGGCUUCAAAACCCUCAGCAGCCCCAGCCUGAAAGCAAACUCAGGUCUCCCCACUGCCUUUGAACACAGUGGGGAUCUGCUCCAGCAGGUUAGCUCUCAGGGCCAUGUUGCUCCCUGCAGCUAAACCAGACGACGUGAAAUGGCAAGUACCUCUUAAUUUUUAUUAUUUUUAAACAGGAUAGUUUAAGAGCUAUGGAUUUUUUUUUAUUAUUAUUAUUACUAUUUUACUGGCAAAUUUAGUGUGCUGCCUUCCCUCCUUAAUGAAGGGAACCAAGAGCUGGUGCUCAGCUCCUGCUUUCUAGAAGCAGUCCCUGCAAACCUACUGUGAAUAACCAUGUCACCUCCCCAUUCUCCAUCUCCAGAGCAAGAAAGCAGCUUUCAUCAGCUCAGACCAUUUUUUCUUUUCUUGCCUCUUUACCUUCGCCUUUCCUUCAAGUUCCAUUUAUCUCCAAGCCCAUGUCUGAGACAAGGACCUACGGCUUGCACCAUCCCUUCAUGUGCAAAAAGAGAAGGGUCCUGUUCCAGGAUGGAAACCUGGAUGCAUUCCUCAAGGAGAUCAUCUCUGAUCAAGGGUGAGGGGUUCACCACCCUCAUUCAUCACCUCCUUAGCCUGUCAGUGUGGGGAGGUGGGAAAGGAACAACAGCACCAAUGGGCAGAGACUAUCCAUUGGACUCACACAAUCAUCCAGUUUUACUGGGAUUUCUCCUCUACAGGCUGAGCUGUGUCUGCUCCCUCCAUGCACCAUCACCCACGGGAAAACCACACUGCAGGAACGAGGGCCAGGGUUUCAAAGUUGGGACAGAUUUGCCCCUCACCAUUAAUUUGCAGUCCCCCAUGGGCUGUUGCGGCAUGGAAGCCAUUAACAUUUAAAAAUACUUGCAGGAAUGGGAAGGGGGGAAAGAAUGGUAUUUGCAGAGGCCCAUUCCUCAGCACACUUUCAUGUGUGCCAAAGUUUGUUGGCAUGGCUCUGAGUUUGAUAGGGAACAUCUGGGCUGUUGCUGCCUGGAUCCUGACUGAGGGCAGCAAACAAAGGGGGUUUGUGCAGGAAUGCAUGAGGAGGGGGCAGCUCAGAGGCAAAACAAGAAGACUCAGGAGAAAGCCAAAUGCACACCCCAGCUUUUUCCAAGGAGAUACAAGCCUCCCCCUUCCAUAUUUUUCUCCCCAGAGUACGCUGCAGCUACAAUAGCAAGGCUCCAACGUGGCUCAGUACCCCACUACCUGUGAUCAGGUCAACUGCCUAAGGAGGUGCUUGGGAGCUCCAAAGAGUGGACAUGCAAAUCAGGACUGCCACCUGGAGCCAGAUUUCCACUCCUUCCACCUCUGGGCCCCCCUCAAAGCCACGCCAGAGAAGGUAGUUGAGUAGGGCACUGGGACAAGCAUCCUUCUUACUUCCUCCUGCUUUGCCUCUGCAGUUCCCCCCCUUCCUGACCUGGGCAGCCUUUGGGAAAGAUCUGCUGUCAUCCUGGAUGAUUUCAGACCUUACAGUAGAGGUUCAUUAGCAUCUUUAGCAACUUUGGAGAUCCACAUGAAGCAAAGUCAUACCUGCAGGACCUCAAUGUUGGAGGCAGUGAAGGAUGCUGAAUUUCAAUGAUACCCACAGAAGGCGAGCUGGUCCCAUGCUGUUGCUGGCUCAGCACCCGUUUGCCUGGAUUUGUCCCUGGAACAACAAAGAAGAGCCCAGCGAGGGGUCAGCAUGGUUCAUUUGCCCUUUGGCCACAGCUUGCCAACAGGAUCCAGCUGAAUAGCUGCCAGUGCAGCGGGCUGGUGGGAAAAUGCUUGUGGAGCUUCUUGUAGGCAAGGGGAGCUCAAACACUUGUUUCAUCUUGGAAAUGUGUGCCAUUUUUUUCCAAGUUGUCCAAACAUUUGGCUUCUGUAUUUCCAUCAGUGACACAUCCCAGGGUUUCUAAUUGAAAAGGUCUUUUCUCUGCAUGGUUAGGCUGCUUGUAGAAAAAAAGAAAACAGGAAGCUUGAAAUUAUCAAAGAAAAAUAUUUUCAUUGACCUAGAAAUUUCUUACCCUUCAGUUUCUUGGUUAGUACAUUUUUCAAGACUCUUCAUCUCCAUGAGAGAAAUACUGUCAUUACUAUAUCUCAAAAAUGCCAACCGAAGGAAAGAGUUAAUAAUUACCAACAUCUAUUUUUAACCUGAUACCACCAGUCACAUCUCACAGAUGGCAGCUGGACUCCCUUGAGGCUCUGCCAUUGACUUUAUCAAUGAUUUGAAGCCAGAGAGGAUUUAAGUGGGUGGGACAUUCCCCAGCUCUAUGCUAACAGAGUCAGAACAGCAGCUGUUACAGAUAGGUAGGAGCUGGGAGCAUCUCUAAAGAGUCCGUGCUCAAGAAACAUUUAGAUGUUGUUCUAAGGGACACCGUUUAGUGGGGAAUAUUGGUGAUAAGUGGACUGUUGGAUGGGAUGAUCUUUGAGAUCUUUUCCAGCCUUGAUGAUGCUAUGAUGAUGCUAUGAUUCUACAACUGCCCUGCCAGUUUCUGGUGUCACAUGCCUCCGUCAUCCAUCUACCACUGAAAAUAAACUGCUCGUUUCUUUCUCCCCCUCAGUUCCAUAACUCAAAGGAUGAGAUAGAUUUUUCUGCACGUUUCCAAGAAGUUUGCCACCAGGCAAGGACCAGGCAUGCGAAACCUUCAACCUGAGACAUGAAUGUUUGCAAAAGUUAUUAGCUUAUGAAAACAGCUCUAAUGGAAACUGUUUUACUGCCAUCAUUUUAACGCUACGAACAGAGCCUGCUGCAAUAUAUAACAUUAUCAAGUGCCUGUCAGCAUUUAAUAGAAGCCAUAAUUAACUGCUGUGGAAGAACAUAGCAAAAAGUUUAUUCUUAGGAAAACUUUUGGGAGCUGCAUAAUUCUGGCCUUAUUUCUUUCUUAUAAUCCCUCUCUACACGAGCCUUAAUAAAGUUCAUAGGACAGAGUGAAUACAGGA